GACGAACGCUGGCGGCGUGCUUAACACAUGCAAGUCGAACGCUGAAGCACCAGCUUGCUGGUGUGGAUGAGUGGCGAACGGGUGAGUAAUACGUGAGUAACCUGCCCUUGACUCUGGGAUAAGCCCGGGAAACUGGGUCUAAUACUGGAUGCUACAUGUCACCGCAUGGUGGUGUGUGGAAAGGGUUUACUGGUCUUGGAUGGGCUCACGGCCUAUCAGCUUGUUGGUGAGGUAAUGGCUCACCAAGGCGACGACGGGUAGCCGGCCUGAGAGGGUGACCGGCCACACUGGGACUGAGACACGGCCCAGACUCCUACGGGAGGCAGCAGUGGGGAAUAUUGCACAAUGGGCGAAAGCCUGAUGCAGCGACGCCGCGUGAGGGAUGACGGCCUUCGGGUUGUAAACCUCUUUCAGCAGGGAAGAAGCUACAAGUGACGGUACCUGCAGAAGAAGCGCCGGCUAACUACGUG
This 470-nucleotide ribosomal RNA is filed under the name uncultured bacterium. RNAcentral describes it as "partial 16S ribosomal RNA". It matches the Rfam family "Bacterial small subunit ribosomal RNA", at positions 28 to 507 of the family's 1533-position model. The record is from RNAcentral.